RNAcentral lists this unclassified non-coding RNA (1498 nucleotides) under Homo sapiens (human). Lineage: Eukaryota; Metazoa; Chordata; Mammalia; Primates; Hominidae. The record is from RNAcentral.
ACCAAACCUCUUCGAGGCACAAGGCACAACAGGCUGCUCUGGGAUUCUCUUCAGCCAAUCUUCAUUGCUCAAGUGUCUGAAGCAGCCAUGGCAGAAGUACCUGAGCUCGCCAGUGAAAUGAUGGCUUAUUACAGUGGCAAUGAGGAUGACUUGUUCUUUGAAGCUGAUGGCCCUAAACAGAUGAAGUGCUCCUUCCAGGACCUGGACCUCUGCCCUCUGGAUGGCGGCAUCCAGCUACGAAUCUCCGACCACCACUACAGCAAGGGCUUCAGGCAGGCCGCGUCAGUUGUUGUGGCCAUGGACAAGCUGAGGAAGAUGCUGGUUCCCUGCCCACAGACCUUCCAGGAGAAUGACCUGAGCACCUUCUUUCCCUUCAUCUUUGAAGAAGAACCUAUCUUCUUCGACACAUGGGAUAACGAGGCUUAUGUGCACGAUGCACCUGUACGAUCACUGAACUGCACGCUCCGGGACUCACAGCAAAAAAGCUUGGUGAUGUCUGGUCCAUAUGAACUGAAAGCUCUCCACCUCCAGGGACAGGAUAUGGAGCAACAAGUGGUGUUCUCCAUGUCCUUUGUACAAGGAGAAGAAAGUAAUGACAAAAUACCUGUGGCCUUGGGCCUCAAGGAAAAGAAUCUGUACCUGUCCUGCGUGUUGAAAGAUGAUAAGCCCACUCUACAGCUGGAGAGUGUAGAUCCCAAAAAUUACCCAAAGAAGAAGAUGGAAAAGCGAUUUGUCUUCAACAAGAUAGAAAUCAAUAACAAGCUGGAAUUUGAGUCUGCCCAGUUCCCCAACUGGUACAUCAGCACCUCUCAAGCAGAAAACAUGCCCGUCUUCCUGGGAGGGACCAAAGGCGGCCAGGAUAUAACUGACUUCACCAUGCAAUUUGUGUCUUCCUAAAGAGAGCUGUACCCAGAGAGUCCUGUGCUGAAUGUGGACUCAAUCCCUAGGGCUGGCAGAAAGGGAACAGAAAGGUUUUUGAGUACGGCUAUAGCCUGGACUUUCCUGUUGUCUACACCAAUGCCCAACUGCCUGCCUUAGGGUAGUGCUAAGAGGAUCUCCUGUCCAUCAGCCAGGACAGUCAGCUCUCUCCUUUCAGGGCCAAUCCCCAGCCCUUUUGUUGAGCCAGGCCUCUCUCACCUCUCCUACUCACUUAAAGCCCGCCUGACAGAAACCACGGCCACAUUUGGUUCUAAGAAACCCUCUGUCAUUCGCUCCCACAUUCUGAUGAGCAACCGCUUCCCUAUUUAUUUAUUUAUUUGUUUGUUUGUUUUAUUCAUUGGUCUAAUUUAUUCAAAGGGGGCAAGAAGUAGCAGUGUCUGUAAAAGAGCCUAGUUUUUAAUAGCUAUGGAAUCAAUUCAAUUUGGACUGGUGUGCUCUCUUUAAAUCAAGUCCUUUAAUUAAGACUGAAAAUAUAUAAGCUCAGAUUAUUUAAAUGGGAAUAUUUAUAAAUGAGCAAAUAUCAUACUGUUCAAUGGUUCUGAAAUAAACUUCACUGAAG